GGCAGUUCUUGAGUGAUUCACCCCAGAAUCAGGCUCCCUUCUCUCUGGUUCCAGGUGCAUCACACAGCUGCC
Molecule: non-coding RNA, 72 nt
Organism: Myotis brandtii (Brandt's bat)
Lineage: Eukaryota; Metazoa; Chordata; Mammalia; Chiroptera; Vespertilionidae
Source: Rfam